ACCUGGCUGGCUCAGUCAGAAGAGCACGUGACUCUUGAUCUUGGGUUGUGAGUUCAAGUCCCCUGUCGGGUG
RNAcentral lists this transfer RNA (72 nucleotides) under Mustela putorius furo (domestic ferret). It matches the Rfam family "tRNA". Rfam says of the family: Transfer RNA (tRNA) molecules are approximately 80 nucleotides in length. The record is from Rfam by way of RNAcentral. Lineage: Eukaryota; Metazoa; Chordata; Mammalia; Carnivora; Mustelidae.